This 446-nucleotide ribosomal RNA is filed under the name uncultured archaeon. RNAcentral describes it as "bacterial SSU rRNA". It matches the Rfam family "Archaeal small subunit ribosomal RNA", at positions 559 to 997 of the family's 1478-position model. The record is from RNAcentral.
UCAACUAUUAGGGCUUCGGGGGGAUACUGCCAGACUUGGAACCGGGAGAGGUAAGAGGGUACUACAGGGGUAGGAGUGAAAUCUUGUAAUCCCUGUGGGACCACCGUAGUGGCGAAGGCGUCUUACCAGAACGGGUUCGACGGUGAGGGACGAAAGCUGGGGGCACGAACCGGAUUAGAUACCCGGGUAGUCCCAGCCGUAAACGAUGCUCGCUAGGUGUCAGGCAUGGCGCGACCGUGUCUGGGUGCCGCAGGGAAGCCGUGAAGCGAGCCACCGGGGAAGUACGGCCGCAAGGCUGAAACUUAAAGGGAAUUGGCGGGGGAGCACAACAACGGGUGGAGCCCUGCGGUUUAAUUGGACUCAACGCCGGACAACUCACCGGGGGCGACAGCAAUAUGUAGGCCAAGCUGAAGACUUUGCCUGAAUCGCUGAGAGGAGGUGCAUGG